Molecule: ribosomal RNA, 433 nt
Filed under: uncultured bacterium
Lineage: Bacteria
Description: partial 16S ribosomal RNA
Rfam family: Bacterial small subunit ribosomal RNA
Source: RNAcentral
AGCGAACGCUGGCGGCAGGCCUAACACAUGCAAGUCGAACGAACUCUUCGGAGUUAGUGGCGGACGGGUGAGUAACACGUGGGAACGUGCCUUUUGGUUCGGAAUAACUCAGGGAAACUUGUGCUAAUACCGAAUGUGCCCUUCGGGGGAAAGAUUUAUCGCCAUUAGAGCGGCCCGCGUCUGAUUAGCUAGGUGGUGAGGUAACGGCUCACCAAGGCGACGAUCAGUAGCUGGUCUGAGAGGAUGACCAGCCACACUGGGACUGAGACACGGCCCAGACUCCUACGGGAGGCAGCAGUGGGGAAUCUUGCGCAAUGGGCGAAAGCCUGACGCAGCCAUGCCGCGUGAAUGAUGAAGGUCUUAGGAUUGUAAAAUUCUUUCACCGGGGACGAUAAUGACGGUACCCGGAGAAGAAGCCCCGGCUAACUUCGUG